GCUGCCUGAAAAAAAAAAUUUUUCGUGGGGGAUAACGUAGGGAAACUUACGCUAAUACCGCAUACGACCUACGGGUGAAAGCAGGGGAUCUUCGGACCUUGCGCGAUUGAAUGAGCCGAUGUCGGAUUAGCUAGUUGGCGGGGUAAAGGCCCACCAAGGCGACGAUCCGUAGCUGGUCUGAGAGGAUGAUCAGACACACUGGAACUGAGACACGGUCCAGACUCCUACGGGAGGCAGCAGUGGGGAAUAUUGGACAAUGGGCGCAAGCCUGAUCCAGCCAUACCGUGUUGGUGAAGAAGGCGGCCAGCUCCGAAAGCUCCACGUAAGG
RNAcentral lists this ribosomal RNA (328 nucleotides) under uncultured bacterium. Its description in RNAcentral is "partial 16S ribosomal RNA". It matches the Rfam family "Bacterial small subunit ribosomal RNA", at positions 112 to 440 of the family's 1533-position model. The record is from RNAcentral.